CAGGUUACCCGCGACAGGACGGAAAGACCCCGUGGCGCUUUACUGUAGCCUGAUAUUGAAAUUCGGCACAGCUUGUACAGGAUAGGUAGGAGCCUUUGAAACGUGAGCGCUAGCUUACGUGGAGGCGCUGGUGGGAUACUACCCUAGCUGUGUUGGCUUUCUAACCCGCACCACUUAUCGUGGUGGGAGACAGUGUCAGGCGGGCAGUUUGACUGGGGCGGUCGCCUCCUAAAAGGUAACGGAGGCGCUCAAAGGUUCCCUCAGAAUGGUUGGAAAUCAUUCAUAGAGUGUAAAGGCAUAAGGGAGCUUGACUGCGAGACCUACAAGUCGAGCAGGGUCGAAAGACGGACUUAGUGAUCCGGUGGUUCCG
This 370-nucleotide ribosomal RNA is filed under the name Staphylococcus aureus. RNAcentral's name for it is "partial 23S ribosomal RNA". It matches the Rfam family "Bacterial large subunit ribosomal RNA", at positions 2062 to 2431 of the family's 2925-position model. The record is from RNAcentral. Lineage: Bacteria; Bacillati; Bacillota; Bacilli; Caryophanales; Staphylococcaceae.